GGGCCCGCACAAGCGGUGGAGCAUGUGGUUUAAUUCGAUGCAACGCGAAGAACCUUACCAAGGCUUGACAUCCUGGUCGCGGUUUGAGGAGACUCUUACCUUCAGUUCGGCUGGACCAGUGACAGGUGCUGCAUGGCUGUCGUCAGCUCGUGUCGUGAGAUGUUGGGUUAAGUCCCGCAACGGGCGCAACCCUCGUCCUUAGUUGCUACCAUUUAGUUGGGCACUUUAAGGAAACUGCCGGUGAUAAGCCGGAGGAAGGUGGGGAUGACGUCAAGUCCUCAUGGCCCUUACAGGCUGGGCUACACACGUGCUACAAUGGCGAUGACAGUGGGCAGCGACCCCGCAAGGGUGAGCUAA
Molecule: ribosomal RNA, 357 nt
Filed under: uncultured bacterium
Lineage: Bacteria
Description: bacterial SSU rRNA
Rfam family: Bacterial small subunit ribosomal RNA
Source: RNAcentral